This 83-nucleotide transfer RNA is filed under the name Canis lupus familiaris (dog). It matches the Rfam family "tRNA". Rfam says of the family: Transfer RNA (tRNA) molecules are approximately 80 nucleotides in length. Their secondary structure includes four short double-helical elements and three loops (D, anti-codon, and T loops). Further hydrogen bonds mediate the characteristic L-shaped molecular structure. tRNAs have two regions of fundamental functional importance: the anti-codon, which is responsible for specific mRNA codon recognition, and the 3' end, to which the tRNAs corresponding amino acid is attached (by aminoacyl-tRNA synthetases). tRNAs cope with the degeneracy of the genetic code in two manners: having more than one tRNA (with a specific anti-codon) for a particular amino acid; and 'wobble' base-pairing, i.e. permitting non-standard base-pairing at the 3rd anti-codon position. The record is from Rfam by way of RNAcentral. Lineage: Eukaryota; Metazoa; Chordata; Mammalia; Carnivora; Canidae. RNAcentral also lists the same sequence under 1 other name.
GCCUGGGUGGCUCAGUGGUUGAGCAUCUGCCUUCCACUCAGAUCAUGAUCCCAGGGUCCUGGGAUCAAGUCCCACAUUGGGCU